RNAcentral lists this ribosomal RNA (1019 nucleotides) under Megascolecidae sp. YN201763-02. Its description in RNAcentral is "partial small subunit ribosomal RNA". Lineage: Eukaryota; Metazoa; Annelida; Clitellata; Crassiclitellata; Megascolecidae. The record is from RNAcentral.
UCCACGCAUACUCAACCUUCUAUAGAAAUUCCAGCAUGUAUACUGCCGUUGUAAGCAUACCUCUAAAAGAAUAAGUAUGCAACUAUGACUAUAACUCAUAUACAUCAGGUCAAAGUGCAGCUAAUGAAAAGGUGAUGAUGGGUUACAACCCAAAAAUAGAUUAUCAGCCAAGAAAUAAAAAAUCUUAAGAAAGUGGACUUGGCUGUAAUUAAUUUACAAGUUAAAAAAAUGAAUAAGCUCUAAGACAUGCACACAUCGCCCGUCACUCUACCCUAAAGGGUAGAUAAGUCGUAACAAAGUAGGUGUAAUGGAAAUUGCACCUGUCGGGGUAUAGCAUAUCCAAUGCUUUCUACUUACACUAGAACCAAAGUUACAAACUUACUUCGCCCACAAAAUAAGAUCUUAUAAAAAUAUAAAUAAUAUAAACAACUUUAUAAUUAAUAAUAAGUAAAUAAGUACAGAAAUGGAAUAAAUAUUAAAUAACAGUAACUUUUAACAAUUGUACCUUGUGCAUUAUGGUUUUACAAGAAAUUAAUUAAUAAUAUAGAUCCCGAAUUCUAAAUGAGAUGUUAAAUUACCGUUAAGAACCCACUAAUAUCUGUAGAAAAAGAUUUAAAAGAUAGUUUAACAGAGGCUACAUACCAUUCGCAUGAGAAUAUAGCUGGUUUUCAACAAAUAUUAUAAAUUAAAACAUAUAAUUAUAUUAUAAUGUUAUAUUAUUGAGGAUAAGCCCAAUAAUAUUAAGCAAUUCAUAUCUCACCUAAUAUUUAUUAUAGGCCUAAAAUCAGCCAACUAAAGUACUUUACCGUAUCAAAUAAUGAUAAAAUAUAUAACAAGUCAUGCUAAAUAAAGUUGAAGUGAUAAAUAAAUUAAAAAUAUAUCUACACUAUGUAAAAAUAAGUAUUAUGAAAUAUAACUACAUUAAUCUAGAAAUAACAAUAAAUAAUAAAUAAUAAUUAAUUAAGGAACUCGGCAAACUAUUAUUUCGACUGUUUAACAAAAACACUGUCUUAUGAACA